This 900-nucleotide ribosomal RNA is filed under the name uncultured bacterium. Its description in RNAcentral is "bacterial SSU rRNA". It matches the Rfam family "Bacterial small subunit ribosomal RNA", at positions 8 to 916 of the family's 1533-position model. The record is from RNAcentral.
AGAGUUUGAUCAUGGCUCAGGACGAACGCUGGCGGCGUGCCUAACACAUGCAAGUCGAGCGGAGGUAGUCUGAUGGUAACUGAUGACUAUCUUAGUGGCGGACGGGUGAGUAACACGUGGGCAACCUGCCUCAGAGUGGGGGAUAACACCGAGAAAUCGGUGCUAAUACCGCAUAACGUACGGAUUUCGCAUGAUAACCGUACCAAAGGAGUAAUCCGCUUUGAGAUGGGCCCGCGGCUGAUUAGCUAGUUGGUGAGGUAAUGGCUCACCAAGGCAACGAUCAGUAACCGACCUGAGAGGGUGACCGGCCACACUGGAACUGAGACACGGUCCAGACUCCUACGGGAGGCAGCAGUGGGGAAUAUUGCGCAAUGGGGGAAACCCUGACGCAGCAACGCCGCGUGGAGGAAGAAGGUCUUCGGAUUGUAAACUCCUGUCUUCUGGGACGAUAAUGACGGUACCAGAGGAGGAAGCCACGGCUAACUACGUGCCAGCAGCCGCGGUAAUACGUAGGUGGCGAGCGUUGUCCGGAAUUACUGGGCGUAAAGGGCGCGUAGGCGGCUCUUUAAGUCAGAUGUGAAAACCCAGGGCUUAACUUUGGGACUGCAUUUGAAACUGAAGGGCUUGAGUGCAGGAGAGGUAAGUGGAAUUCCUAGUGUAGCGGUGAAAUGCGUAGAUAUUAGGAGGAACACCAGUGGCGAAGGCGACUUACUGGACUGUAACUGACGCUGAGGCGCGAAAGCGUGGGGAGCAAACAGGAUUAGAUACCCUGGUAGUCCACGCUGUAAACGAUGGAUACUAGGUGUGGGAGGUAUCGACCCCUUCCGUGCCGCAGUAAACGCAAUAAGUAUCCCGCCUGGGGAGUACGGCCGCAAGGUUGAAACUCAAAUGAAUUGACGG